GAUGAACGCUGGCGGCGUGCCUAAUACAUGCAAGUCGAGCGAACGGACGAGAAGCUUGCUUCUCUGAUGUUAGCGGCGGACGGGUGAGUAACACGUGGAUAACCUACCUAUAAGACUGGGAUAACUUCGGGAAACCGGAGCUAAUACCGGAUAAUAUUUUGAACCGCAUGGUUCAAAAGUGAAAGACGGUCUUGCUGUCACUUAUAGAUGGAUCCGCGCUGCAUUAGCUAGUUGGUAAGGUAACGGCUUACCAAGGCAACGAUGCAUAGCCGACCUGAGAGGGUGAUCGGCCACACUGGAACUGAGACACGGUCCAGACUCCUACGGGAGGCAGCAGUAGGGAAUCUUCCGCAAUGGGCGAAAGCCUGACGGAGCAACGCCGCGUGAGUGAUGAAGGUCUUCGGAUCGUAAAACUCUGUUAUUAGGGAAGAACAUAUAUGUAAGUAACUGUGCACAUCUUGACGGUACCUAAUCAGAAAGCCACGGCUAACUACGUGCCAGCAGCCGCGGUAAUACGUAGGUGGCAAGCGUUAUCCGGAAUUAUUGGGCGUAAAGCGCGCGUAGGCGGUUUUUUAAGUCUGAUGUGAAAGCCCACGGCUCAACCGUGGAGGGUCAUUGGAAACUGGAAAACUUGAGUGCAGAAGAGGAAAGUGGAAUUCCAUGUGUAGCGGUGAAAUGCGCAGAGAUAUGGAGGAACACCAGUGGCGAAGGCGACUUUCUGGUCUGUAACUGACGCUGAUGUGCGAAAGCGUGGGGAUCAAACAGGAUUAGAUACCCUGGUAGUCCACGCCGUAAACGAUGAGUGCUAAGUGUUAGGGGGUUUCCGCCCCUUAGUGCUGCAGCUAACGCAUUAAGCACUCCGCCUGGGGAGUACGACCGCAAGGUUGAAACUCAAAGGAAUUGACGGGGACCCGCACAAGCGGUGGGGCAUGUGGUUUAAUUCGAAGCAACGCGAAGAACCUUACCAAAUCUUGACAUCCUUUGACAACUCUAGAGAUAGAGCCUUCCCCUUCGGGGGACAAAGUGACAGGUGGUGCAUGGUUGUCGUCAGCUCGUGUCGUGAGAUGUUGGGUUAAGUCCCGCAAUGAGCGCAACCCUUAAGCUUAGUUGCCAUCAUUAAGUUGGGCACUCUAAGUUGACUGCCGGUGACAAACCGGAGGAAGGUGGGGAUGACGUCAAAUCAUCAUGCCCCUUAUGAUUUGGGCUACACACGUGCUACAAUGGACAAUACAAAGGGCAGCGAAACCGCGAGGUCAGGCAAAUCCCAUAAAGUUGUUCUCAGUUCGGAUUGUAGUCUGCAACUCGACUACAUGAAGCUGGAAUCGCUAGUAAUCGUAGAUCAGCAUGCUACGGUGAAUACGUUCCCGGGUCU
This 1372-nucleotide ribosomal RNA is filed under the name uncultured bacterium. Its description in RNAcentral is "bacterial SSU rRNA". It matches the Rfam family "Bacterial small subunit ribosomal RNA", at positions 28 to 1381 of the family's 1533-position model. The record is from RNAcentral.